AAAUUGUAAACGAAAAAUAGCAGUAGUCUUAUACAAAAUCAGUCUAGAGAGCACCUGUCGUUGGAAAUGGUGUCUGAUCCAUAAGAUGAAAAACACUAUUUUUAGCUUAAAGUGAAUAAAAAAUGAGGUUACUUGUCGAUUGAUGCGUAACGAAUUAAGGUGGCACCACGAUUCUCGUCCUUUUC
Molecule: unclassified non-coding RNA, 185 nt
Filed under: Pseudolactococcus piscium
Lineage: Bacteria; Bacillati; Bacillota; Bacilli; Lactobacillales; Streptococcaceae
Description: Lactococcus piscium T-box
Source: RNAcentral